This 441-nucleotide ribosomal RNA is filed under the name Liriope tetraphylla. RNAcentral describes it as "partial large subunit ribosomal RNA". It matches the Rfam family "Bacterial large subunit ribosomal RNA", at positions 1812 to 2428 of the family's 2925-position model. Lineage: Eukaryota; Metazoa; Cnidaria; Hydrozoa; Limnomedusae; Geryoniidae. The record is from RNAcentral.
AACAUAGCCCUUAGAAUAAAAUUAAAGGUGCAACCUGCCCUAUGGUUCUAAUACCUUUUAUAAAUAGAAGUGAAACUAGAACUAAAUGGCCGCGGUAACUCUGACCGUGAUAAUGUAGCGAAAUCAAUUGUCGUUUAAUUGACGACCAGUAUGAAUGGUUAAACGAAUUUUCCACUGUCUCCAUGAUAAACUUAAUGAAUUUAAAAUAAUAGUGAAGAUGCUAUUUAAUAAUUGUAAGACGAGAAGACCCUAUAGAGCUUAACUAUAACCUUUAACUAAAUGACGGUAAUUUAUCUGUCAAUAUUAAAGGUUGGUAGUUUGGUUGGGGCGACCAUCUUCUAAAUGUAACGAAGAUAAACAAUGAUAGAUAAAAAUUAUUAAUUUAACUGUAUAAUAAAUAUAUUUAACAGGUAUUAAAAUAGGUAAAUUGACCCGUUUAUU